UGUCACCAAAAAUGACUACACGCUGCAGAGAACUUUGGCCAGGAUAUGGAGAUGCUCUAAACUGGUAUUCUUGACUCCAAACAUAUGUACCAUUGAACAAUUUAUGUCCAAGCUUGUAUAUGUACACAACGUUUGGCCAUAACUCCUUCAAAAAGCUAGUGUGUAUAAAUCCAGGAUCACGCCACCCCACUGUCCUUGCUGGUGCACCACACAUGCUGUUACGGCUAAAUGUCAGUGUUCCAGCUGGGGAACGUACACGAUCAGCACCUUCUAGACCCCAUUCAACAAAAGGUUGUGCUUCACUGAUCCCAAAUCCACUCGUCCACGUUAUUGUCAUUUCAUUCCAUGCC
This 350-nucleotide unclassified non-coding RNA is filed under the name Hevea brasiliensis (rubber tree). The record is from RNAcentral. Lineage: Eukaryota; Viridiplantae; Streptophyta; Magnoliopsida; Malpighiales; Euphorbiaceae.